RNAcentral lists this non-coding RNA (30 nucleotides) under Mus musculus (house mouse). Lineage: Eukaryota; Metazoa; Chordata; Mammalia; Rodentia; Muridae. The record is from RNAcentral.
UUAGAUGCAGAAAAGGCAUUUGACAAGAUC